CCUGCGGAGGGAUCAUUGCUGGAACGCGCCCCGGCGCACCCAGAAACCCUUUGUGAACUUAUACCUUACUGUUGCCUCGGCGCAGGCCGGCCUCUUAGCUGAGGCCCCCCGGAGACGGGGAGCAGCCCGCCGGCGGCCAACCUAACUCUUGUUUUUACACUGUAUCUCUGAGUAAAAAAACAUAAAUGAAUCAAAACUUUCAACAACGGAUCUCUUGGUUCUGGCAUCGAUGAAGAACGCAGCGAAAUGCGAUAAGUAAUGUGAAUUGCAGAAUUCAGUGAAUCAUCGAAUCUUUGAACGCACAUUGCGCCCUCUGGUAUUCCGGAGGGCAUGCCUGUUCGAGCGUCAUUUCAACCCUCAAGCCUGGCUUGGUGUUGGGGCACUGCCUGUAAAAGGGCAGGCCCUGAAAUCUAGUGGCGAGCUCGCUAGGACCCCGAGCGUAGUAGUUAUAUCUCGUUCUGGAAGGCCCUGGCGGUGCCCUGCCGUUAAACCCCCAACUUCUGAAAAUUUGACCUCGGAUCAGGUAGGAAUACCCGCUGAACUUAAGCAUAUCAA
RNAcentral lists this ribosomal RNA (555 nucleotides) under Phomopsis sp. PhSFX-1. RNAcentral's name for it is "eukaryotic LSU rRNA". The stretch from base 195 to 348 matches the Rfam family "5.8S ribosomal RNA". Lineage: Eukaryota; Fungi; Ascomycota; Sordariomycetes; Diaporthales; Diaporthaceae. The record is from RNAcentral.